RNAcentral lists this long non-coding RNA (39570 nucleotides) under Triticum aestivum (bread wheat). RNAcentral's name for it is "long non-coding RNA (TAES_LNC021836)". Lineage: Eukaryota; Viridiplantae; Streptophyta; Magnoliopsida; Poales; Poaceae. The record is from RNAcentral.
ACUGAAGUAGAGAUAUUUGGUCAUUUUUCCGAUGUGAAUUAAGAUGACCAUAACUCUCACGUCGUAGUUAUGGUACCACCUCCUGUGUCAUUAAAGGAUACUUGUGUGAUUUACUAGCUGUUUUAGGUACCUCCUACAGUCCUACGUACUCGUGUGAUUUACUUGUCGUUUUAUAUAAGCAUGAUGCUCGUAUGUUUUGAUAUUUAGCACUUUGCGUCAUAUGUGAAACAAGUAAUUUAAAUGAUUCCACCCAUUGUAAUUGCAUACUAGGUCUCAGAUUCAUCGCAUCAACCGUGUGGGGUAGUAUGCAAGGAUCAACCGAUGUGGAUAACAAAAUCUGGGUGCGAGCUUCCGGGAAAUCUAAUUGGGUCUAUGCAAACAAGCAGAUUUGGAAGAUAAUCCCUGUACAUGUAUGACUAUACGAACUCUUCUUCCCUCCAGGCAAUAGAGUUUAGCUUCAGUAAGCAAGUGCUAAGAUAACUUGCAUUCAUAACUCUGCUGCUGAUCAAGUCAAGUGUCUGUAUUUGGUGUUCAGGUUGAUUUGGCAAAUCUUUGACAGUAGCUGUGGGUCUUAUACUGAUGACAAUCAACGUGUCUUUUCCGACCAACCAGGGGUCGAUUCCAACAUAUGUUUUUCUCUUAUAUAAGGGCAGUGACUUCACUACGUUAGGCUGGAUGAUUCGAUGUUUAGUAGCUUCAUCAAACUGGAUGCUAGCAAAGUGAUAAAAUUUUGGAUGUUUUCGGAAAUAUAGCAUCACGAGCCCAAUAAGAGAAAAAAAUCAAACAUCAUUAUGAAUGCCUUAGGAUAAUGAUUUUACCUUGCGGUUAUACUCUGCAUUGCAUGCCUGGAGAGCUAUUGCUUUCAGAUCCAAUUUACAGUCCAGGUUGACCGUCGACACAGUAUUCUUGCCAUCAGAUCAGACACUAGAAAGCAUAGUACACCCAGGAGAAAUCAAACCAGGAAAUAGCUCUGGCUCAUACUGUCAAGCAACCAUAUAAAAAACAUCAGUUCCAAAACAAGGAAAGAGACAAGUUCUGGGAAAGAAUGAGAAAAUAUCAUACAUGAUAAAAUAGUGCUGACGGAACAGAAUUCACAUCCUAACCUGGUCGCAUGAUUCAAAGUUAGAUUUUGGCCCAGAAGAGGUGACAAGCGCCGACAUGCCAUGACGCUUGAAGAGGUGACAAAUCUGUGCCGACCCCCUCUUGGUGAUAACUCAGUCGGAGCCACUCUUGGUGACAUCUUGAAAAGGAGUACUCUACAACUACUGCUUAACAAGGGAGGCAAAAGGAACAUACUCCAUCUUAUAAGUAGUUCAUUACAAAAACUUGAAUUUGCAAAAGGAACUUGAAUGAUCAUUUAAAUUGUGUGGAGUGAUUAGCCAGAAAGAGAAGAGAAAGAAAUGCUUGUAGGAGUGACAAUUAAAAAUAAGAUAAUUGUUGGAGUAAACAACACUCGAUUAGUGACAGUUGAUUGACUAUUAAAGAGGGCAAGAUGAUAUGAUAAUUACUGUAACUACUCUACGUUAAUUGAGGAGUACUCCAUUUGACCAUUUUGAUCAUCUUGGUCGUUUUCAAAUGGUUUUGUACUCCAUUUGAUCAGUUUCAGUUUCAGUAUGCACAUUUUCAGUUUCAGUACUCUAUAUUAACUGAAAAGGAGUACAUUUUGAUCAUUUUCAAAUGGUUCUGUGAUCACCAGAUAAUGGUACUGGUAAUAGUGGAUUUAUAUCUUGUGAUCACCAGAUAAGUAUCACCAGAAAAUGGAGUAGUGUGUUUUCUGGUAGAGAACCAAGAAAAGACAUUCAAAAUCUACUGGGAAAUUAAACUUUAAAUUAGGCGCAUAAACUUUAAACUAAAAUGUAAGUCCUAAUUCGUUUGGUUUUAAAGAAAACUUGUUUGAAGUAAAGCAGUAUAGUCCCUACAUGAAGGAUAGGAAGAAGGAAUGGAAAGAUAAAUUUCUGAAAUGAAGAUAACAAAACGGACACUGAACAAUUGAACAGUCACUUCAACCAACACUCGGCUACUGAUACUGAAUCUUGGUACUGCACAAGCAUCAUCAUUAACAUGGUCUCAAGCAGUGAAGUUCCACAAAAUUUACUGCAAUCUUGGUACUGGAAAUGUUUUACUCCUUGAAUGAAGUUCCACCAAUAUCUUGGUACUUCAACCAACAAAUGUACUCCAAAUGUUUUACGGGAGUAUGCUUGAGACCAUUAGGAGUGCCACACGGCUCCAGCAAUGUGUCCACCUAAAACACUUCAGAACAUUUAUUCAGGCGAGCUUAAUAGGAUGAACUGACUUGCAAACGUUUCAGAAUUGGCUGCCAAUGAGAGGAGGGUAAUGAAUUGACUUGCAACAAGUGCAUGAAGUAAGAUUUAUACAGAUUUACAGAGAUUCAGAUACAGUCAUUGAGGUCUGCUUGGCCUAGGCUGCAGUGCAUUCAGAUUUAGUCAUGAAAUGGAGUGAGAUGGAGAUGGCGCCUCACCUCUGUAUUUGGAGCUGCGGAGGAUCCAGGAGAUGACCACGCAGUCGACGAGGCUGUCGUCCACCGCCAGGACGAGCGGCGGCUCCUGGACCGUCCUCGACAUUGGGCAACAGCAGAAGGGGAUGAAGUUACCCUGCACCUCCCUCCAGCCGUUGCUGGCCUUGUUGCUGCUGCUGAACAUGAGGCCGCGGAGCGCCCGGUGCACGCAGGAGCAAUGAAUCCGCUCCAUCUGGCCGCCACACUUGUGCGACGCCAUGGAGCUCCAGAUUAAAGCCCUGGCCAAGUUAAAUGAGCUCCAGAUUAAAGCCCUGGUCGGGGAUGAGCAGCAGCGAGGGNNNNNNNNNNNNNNNNNNNNNNNNNNNNNNNNNNNNNNNNNNNNNNNNNNNNNNNNNNNNNNNNNNNNNNNNNNNNNNNNNNNNNNNNNNNNNNNNNNNNNNNNNNNNNNNNNNNNNNNNNNNNNNNNNNNNNNNNNNNNNNNNNNNNNNNNNNNNNNNNNNNNNNNNNNNNNNNNNNNNNNNNNNNNNNNNNNNNNNNNNNNNNNNNNNNNNNNNNNNNNNNNNNNNNNNNNNNNNNNNNNNNNNNNNNNNNNNNNNNNNNNNNNNNNNNNNNNNNNNNNNNNNNNNNNNNNNNNNNNUUCGGAUCCACCUAUCGGAAAGUAAAAAUGGGGUCCUGAAGGGGUGAGGACGAGAGGGCCAAUGGAGUGGCGGCGACGACGCGUGAGGGAGAGGCAGAGCGACGCGGGCGACGGAGAGGCGUCGGCAACACGGGCGACGGAGAGGCGCUGGCGACGAGUGCGAGGGAGAGGCGGCGGCGGCAGCGGCGAGCUAGGGAUUCGACUGGGGCAAGCCAGAGAGUGAGCGAGUGAGCAAGAGAGUGGACGAGAGAGAGGUGGGGGGUAGUUUAGCAAACAACCAAAAAAAUUGUACAUGACGAAUUUUACACUAGAAACGUAGAACAACAAUUAUUUCGGUACAGAUAGUACUAUAUAUUAAAGUGUAUACAUAUUAAUUAAACAUGGAUCAUACAAGAAAAAUAUACGUAUUAGAUAUAGUAUCACACAAAAAACACAGUUUUGAGAGAAGAAACCGAAUAUACUUGGUUUGUGUUGGAUUGCUUCCAUGCUUUUAUCUUUCGUCGCACAAUUUUCCUUAGCCUAUACAAAUAAAUUAAAAUGAUUUAAGAAAUUUUAGAUGAUUGUUUAUUUAUAUAUGAACAUACAAUUGAACAUUAUGGUUGGUUGUUUGCUUCGAGAGAAAUGCAACAUCUUUUUUUAUAAUAUGAAAAAUGGAUUUUCUAUUUUACAAAAUAAAAUUGUUGUGUUAGUUUCACUUUUAUUUUUAUUAUAUAUAUUAUAUAUGUUUAUUUCAUCAUAGAUAGAAAGUGAUGGGUUCCGACAUACACACUGAUAUAACGAUGACUGCCUGACUGAAACACUACGAGAGAAGGUGCAUAUAGCUAAUCCUUUGUAUAUAGCUAAAGGUGUAUUCUUUAUGUAUUUUUUUCAAAAUAUAGGAGACAUAGAUAUGGAACUUGAAGAUGCACAAAAAGAAUCCAUCAACAAGGGUUCCGAACCGACGCCACUAAAAGGGGCUGAAAAUUCAUCAAAAAAUUUACAACAUAAUAAUAUAGAAGCGGUGAUAUCUCACAAAAAAACAAAAAAGGAUGUCAAUUUAAAUGCUACCAUACAAGGUAUUUUUUCAAUGUUGUUAUCAGUCUUUCCUUCGUCAUAUUGCCUACUUUCACUCUUUUUUUAUCAGGCCAACAAAUUAUGUAUGUACACAUUCUCAAUUUGUCAUUUCGUGAUCACUUUACAUUACAAGUGAAGUGACCUUCAAUUAUUAUGCAAUUGUGAUCAUGUCAUAUUGUCUUUAUCUGUGAAAUUUAGCAUGCAUUAUCUUUACAUAACUUCAGAAAAAUAUUUCAGAAGCCCGUGGCAACGCACGAGCAUUCUACUAUCUCUACUUCUAAUGUCUCAGUUGGUAGUCUCCGUUUCAUGGUUAAUUUUCGUCCCAGCACUUUCGUCCGAUUUUUUUUCGGUGGUUAUUUUUCGUCACAUCCCCGUUGCCACGCCUUUGUCCAUCGGUUUAUCAAAGAUAAAAAUAGCCCAGCCAGACCGCAGUCCCGCACGACCUUGCCUCCUUGAUCCGACCUCGACAUCCAUCUCGCCGCCACCUCCUGCUCCGCCCCGCCGUGCGCCGUCCGCCGCCACCAUGACUGCGCCACCGUCCCCCGUAUCGUCUCCGCUAUCAGAAUCCCGCCGUCGCCGUGCCUGCGCCGCCGUCCCCAGUAUCCACUCCACUGUCCGAAUCCCGCUGUCGCGCCCGUCUCGCUCACCGUGGCCGAUGAUCGCGUUGACCGGGACCGCAUCCCUCCCCAAACGGCAGCCAUGAUGAAGGGCGCCGCUCGGCUAUGGAGGCAGGGGAAGAUGUAGGCGACGCCGGCGGUGGCCGCUCCACCGGCCACCGCCUGAAAACUGGUGCCAUGGUCGAGCUGGGCGGAGUGGCGCUUCGUCCGCGACGCCAUCUUCUCCCCAUACCCCGACCCUGGCGCCGCUCUUCGUAGGGUAGGUAUCCUCUUCCUGAAGCCCCCCCCCCCCCAAAGUAUCAGGCGAAUGGUGAGAAAUCUAUGACUGUUUCAUUGGUGCAGACCGCAGCGUGGCGGAGCAGGGGCUGCCUCCCGAUCUCCGUGGAGGUCACUGCGGCCCUCUUCGAGAUAAGGUUGCGCGAUCCCUUCUUCCGGUACGUUCUUUGGAUGCACAGUUCCAACCUUUUUCAAUGGGCUAAAUUUUCUAAACAGUGUUGACUUGAUAUUAUAGUACUAAAAUCUCGAGAAUACUUGAUGGACCAAGGCAAGUAGUGUUUGUAAUGACUUGGUUUAUGAUAGUCAUUGCCAUCAAAUAUUUUAAACUUGCAGAUAUUCCCGUUCAUAUCAUGACAUCCACAAUAACCGAACUAUCCUGCUUAUAAUGCUUCAGACAAAUAGAUAAAAAAUUAUAAGUUUUCUUAUCAGAAACAGAAAAAUUACACCACCAUAUGUGUGGAGUGUGUUGUAGUGCUCCACAAAAAUAUUUUUCCAUGACCCCUGAAAACUUUUAAGGAUAGAGUGAAUUGCCCACAACAAUUUCCAUGAAAUUCCUUCAUUGUGGUGGCAAGUAUAAUACUUAGUCCUGCAAAAUAUUAUUUUGUAUAUAAUCUAACACUUAAGUAACUGAUUGAGGGAAUUUUAGAGGAUGGAGAAGAUCGGGGUACAAUAGGGAAAUGGAUGGAGAGAGAGAAAAAGAGAGUGGAGAUGAGAGACAGGGUGAGAAAGAGGGUCUUUACAUAAAAAGGUUGACAAUGAUGGGUAAGCAUGAUUAGUAGAAGGGUAAAGUAUAUAUCAUACAACCAUUGUCAUAUACAAGGAGUCCGUAGCAACGCACGGGCAUUAUACUAGUAUAAGUAGAGUGGCUGCCAGCUCGGGGUGAUUAAACCUCCAGACGUGGCUGCCAGCUCGGCUCAUCCUGGACCGCACCUGUGAGUGAUGGCUUUGAUAGGGGGUCAUUUGCAAACUGGCUGAAAGUAAACAUUCAUGCCUACCACAUCGGCUGGAGUGAACUCGUAUGGUAUCCCUCUUCUCGUCUCUUUGCGUCUUCAAUGCCAUCGUCGUCAUGAGCAGGGGAAGGUGAUCGACAACCACAGAAGGCGACUCGACACCGGCAAGUAGCGGGUGGCGUUCAUGUAUAUGAUGAUGGAUUGAUGUGAAGUUUUGGUACUGAGUUUUAUUUUAGAAGCAUGACUAGGGUUUUGUUCGGGUUUGUGGUGAUUUGAACAUGUGCAAAAACCAUUAUUCCUAGUUGCUUGUACUAAUGUGCUUAAACAGAAGCGACAAUCCAUCUUUUAUCAGUUUGGUUAGCAGUGCCUUUUUUAGUUAGUUUGCAUAGACAUUGGCUGCUUUGGUAUUGUUUUCCACCAAAUUCACGUAUCUACCCUGCACUGUAACUGAAGCUUCUGGAUGUAUCAAUUCUGUUUCUGAACAUGUGAAACCACACAGCCACAAAUUAGCACUACAUUCUCAUGAAUGGAGUGUCAAGUUUUCAUAGAUUACUUGUCGACAGUACAAAGGUUAACAAGCAUUGUACCCCGUGGCCCCUGCCUUAACAGUGCUAGUAAUUUUCACUGUUUGCGGAACCAUUGAUCCCUCUUUAACUGAAAAGACUGAAGCCUUACUCUGUGCAUGUCCAAAAAAUUUAGUUUUGGCAAGUGCAACACAUUUAAGUCCAGAAAAAUGUAUAUUAAGUAUUUGUAAGUGCAAAAACCUUACAUUUGCUGUCUUGAAGUGCAAGAACUGAAUUUGUAUGCUCCAAGUAUGUCCAAGAAAUGAAUAUAUAUGCAAUGUUUAUUCAGCAAAAACUGAAAACUUAUUUGUUUAACUAGAAAAACUGAAAGUAUGCUAUGUUUUAGUGUAGAAACUGGUUUUUUCACUUUCUUUAAGUGCAACAUUUUUUUUUUGCUUUCUGUAAGUGCAGAAAUUGAAGUUCACAAACUGAACAUUUGCUCUGUUUAUUUUGCAUCUAGGUCUGGAUGAUCGAGUGUUCACUAUUGAGAUUUGUCAUGGUGGUCUUUUUCUAUGGUUUGGGGAGUUAAUAGAAUAUAAAUUGAUGGCAUGUUCAUUAUAUAUAAAUUGAUGGCAUGUGCAUUAUAUUGUUCCUGAGGGAGAUGUGGUUCUUAGAAUCAAGGUCAUAAUAUAUUUACAUAGUAUGUGAUAUAUGUACUCUAAUAUACAAGUAUUCAAUAGACAUAGUGUGGAGUUGGAGGGGGGGGGGGGCAAGUGCCCUCCUCCGCUAAUGUACAACAACAAAAAAACAUUUCAAGCCGGCAUAUUGGAGGUUGAUGCUUACAACAUUCCCACCCGAGAGAGUGCAGGGAUCGCUGUUGUUUGGCUAAGACAGAUCCUUGAAGUUGGUCAAUGUUCUUAGGGUGUUCUAGAGUGUACUGUGAGGUCACCAAGCUGUAUGGUGGCACCGACAUGAGGCAUGACAGCCAGGAGGAGGAAAGUGGCUCACCCUCUUAUCUCUGAUAGCAUAGAUAUGGGGACAGUGGGAGGAAGUUGGAGGACGAUUGACAAGGAGGACAUCGGGAGAAGAUGAAUGAGGAGGAAGACAAAAUCAUGGGCGGACAAGCCUAGCUCAAGACCAUGUAUACAUAGUUUCUCCGGCGAUGCCUAGUGAUACGUCUCAAACUUAUCUACAUUUUUUAUUGUUAAAUCCUACUGUGUUAUCAUUUUAAUUUUAUAGCAAUUUAUAUUAUUUUUCAGGAUUAAUCUAUUAAUUUAGCGCCUAGUUUCGGUUCUUGUUUUCUGCUUGUUUUUUGUUUUGCAGGAAAUCAAUAUCUACAGAGGUCAAAAUACAUUGUAGAUUUAACAUGAUUUUUUGGGCAACAAGAAACACUGGAAGCUUCGGGAAGUGUCGAGAGGGGCCACCAGCCAGCCACAUGGGCAUGUUACCCGACCAAGGGGGUGGCCGCGCCACCUGUCCAUGUCAGUCCCUCGGUUACCGCCUUGACCUGAUUCCACCGCCAUAAAUCCCUAUAAAUUCCGUUGUAUCUCCAGAAGAAUUUUGUCGCCGCCGCAAGUCUGUAUUCCAAAGAGAUCCCAUAUGGACCCCUGUUUUGAAGUUCUGUAGAGGGAGAAGCCAUUGGAGGAGCCUCUUCGUCAACCUUACUGCUUCCCUGGCCAUGUGAGAGUAGUUCUUUCAGGACCUACGGGUCCAUAAUAGGAGCUAGAUGGUUCUCUCUCUCUCUCUCUCUCUCUCUCUCUCUCUCUCUCUCUCUCUCUCUCUCUCUGGCACCAUGUUCCCCUUCUUCCUUAUGUUAUUGGGAUCAAUGCAAUGCAAUUUUAUGGUGUGUUUGAUGGGACAUGAUGACAUUUGUAAGUUUAAUCAUAUUGUUCAUUGACUCAUAUUGAAUCUUUCAAAGUUUCUUUGUUGUAUAAUUAAGUAGCUAUCUAUGAUUUUCAAUCUAUUUGUCUUCUAUGACCAAGAUUGUGAAGGAAAUAUGCCCUAGAGGCAAUACUAAAGUUGUUAUUUAUAUUUCCUUAUAUCAUGAUAAAUGUUUAUUAUUCAUGCUAGAAUUAUAUUAACCGGAAACUUAGUACAUGUGUGAAUACAUAGACAAAACAAAGUGUCCCUAGUAUCCCUCUACUUAACUAGCUCGUUAAUCAAAGAUUGUUAACUUUCCUAACCAUAGACAUGUGUUGUCAUUUGAUGAACGGGAUCACAUCAUUAGAGAAUGAUGUGAUGGACAAGACCCAUCCGUCAGCUUAGCAUAAUGGUCGUUAAGUUUUACUGCUAUUUGCUUUCUUCGUGACUUAUACAUAUUCAUCUGACUAUGAGAUUAUGCAACUCCCGAAUACCGGAGGAACACCUUGUGUGCUAUCAAACAUCACAACAUAACUGGGUGAUUAUAAAUAUGCUCUACAGGUGUAUCCGAAGGUGUUUGUUGAGUUGGCAUAGAUCAAGAUUAUGAUUUGUCACUCCGUGUAUCGGAGAGGUAUCUCUGGGCCCUCUUGGUAAUGCACAUCACUAUAAGCCUUGCAAGCAAUGUGACUAAUGGGUUAGUUGCGGGAUGAUGCAUUACGGAAUGAGUAAAGAGACUUGCCGGUAACGAUAUUGAACUAGGUAUGAUGAUACUGACGAUCGAAUCUCGGAAAAGUAACAUACCGAUGACAAAGGGAAUGACGUAUGUUGUUAUGCGGUUUGACCGACAAAGAUCUUCGUAGAAUAUUUAGGAGUCAAUAUGAGCAUCCAGGUUCCGCUAUUGGUUAUUGACCGGAGAUGUUUCUCGGUCAUGUCUACAUAGUUCUCGAACCCGUAGGGUCCGCACGCUUAAUGUUCGAUGACGAUUUGUAUUAUGAGUUAUGUGUUUUGGUGACAAAAGUUUUUUCGGAGUCCAGGAUGAGAUCAGGGACAUGACGAGGAGUCUCAAAAUGGUCGAGAGGUAAAGAUUGAUAUAUUGGAAGGUAGUAUUCGGAUACCGGAAGGGUUCCGGAGAGUAUCUGGUACACACCGGAGUACCGGAGGGGUUACCGGAACCCCCCGCGGAAAGAUAUGAGCCACAUGGGCCAUAUGAGGGAGGCUAACCAGCCCACAAGGGCUGGUGCGCCCCCCACAAGGGAGGAGGCCGAUUUGGACUAGGGAAGGGGGCGCCACCCCCCUUUCCUUCUCCUACUCCCUCUCCUUCCCCUUUCCCCCCUCUGGUAGAAGGAACAAAAGGGGGGGGGGGGGCUGUUGGAAAUAUGCCCUAGAGGCAAUAAUAAAAUGGUUAUUAUUAUAUUUCCUUAUUCAUGAUAAUUGUCUAUUGUUCAUGCUAUAACUGUGUUAUCCGGAAAUCGUAAUACAUGUGUGAAUAUAUAGACCACAACACGUCCCUAGUGAGCCUCUAGUUGACUAGCUCGUUAAUCAACAGAUAGUCAUGGUUUCCUGACUAUGGACAUUGGAUGUCAUUGAUAACGGGAUCACAUCAUUAGGAGAAUGAUGUGAUGGACAAGGCCCAAUCCUAAGCAUAGCACAAGAUCGUGUAGUCCGUUUUGCUAGAGCUUUUCCAAAUGUCAAGUAUCAUUUCCUUAGACCAUGAGAUUGUGCAACUCCCGGAUACCGUAGGAGUGCUUUGGGUGUGCCAAAUGUCACAACGUAACUGGGUGACUAUAAAGGUGCACUACGGGUAUCUCCGAAAGUGUCUGUUGGGUUGGCACGAAUCGAGACUGGGAUUUGUCACUCCGUAUGACGGAGAGGUAUCUCUAGGCCCACUCGGUAAUGCAUCAUCAUAAUGAGCUCAAUGUGACCAAGUGUCUGGUCACGAGAUCAUGCAUUUAUGGUACGAGUAAAGUGACUUGCCGGUAAUGAGAUUAAACGAGGUAUUGGGAUACCGACGAUCGAAUUCGGGCAAGUAACGUACCCAUUGACAAAGGGAAUUGCAUACGGGAUUGAUUGAAUCCUCGACAUCGUGGUUCAUCCGAUGAGAUCAUCGAGGAGCAUGUGGGAGACAACAUGGGUAUCCAGAUCCCACUGUUGGUUAUUGACCGGAGAGUCGUCUCGGUCAUGUCUGCAUGUCUCCCGAACCCGUAGGGUCUACACACUUAAGGUUCGGUGACGCUAGGGUUGUAGAGAUAUAAGUAUGCGGUAACCCGAAAGUUGUUCGGAGUCCCGGAUAAGAUCCCGGACAUCCUGAGGAGUUCCGAAAUGGUCCAGAGAUGAAGAAUUAUAUAUAGGAAGUCCAGUUUCGGCCAUCGGGAAAGUUUUGGGGGUCACCGGUAUUGAAUCGGGACCACCGAAAGGGUCCCGGGGGUCCACCGGGUGGGGCCACCUAUCCCGGAGGGCCGCAUGGGCUGAAGUGGGAGGGGAACCAGCCCCUAGUGGGUUGGUGCGCCCCCCUUGGGGCCCCCCUGCGCCUAGGGUUGGAUACCCUAGGGGUGGGGGGCGCUCCACUUUCCUUGGGGGGCAAGCCACCCCCCUUGGCUGUUUGGUAACGUAGUAAUUUCAAAAAAAUUCCUACGUACACGCAAGAUCAUGGUGAUGACAUAGCAACGAGAGGGGAGAGUGUUGUCCACAUACCCUCGUAGACCGUAAGCGGAAGCGUUAUGACAACGCGGUUGAUGUAGUCGUACGUCUUCACGAUCUGACCGAUCCAAGCACCGAACGUACGGCACCUCCGAGUUCAGCACACGUUCAGCUCGAUGACGAUCCCCGGGCUCCGAUCCAGCAAAGCUUCGGGGAUGAGUUCCGUUAGCACGACGGCGUGGUGACGAUGAUGAUGUUGUACCGGCGCAGGGCUUCGCCUAAACUCUGCGACGAUAUGACCAAGGUGGAAUAUGGUGGAGGGGGGCACCGCACACGGCUAAGGAACGAUCCGUAGAUCAACUUGUGUGUCCUGGGGUGCCCCCUGCCCCCGUAUAUAAAGGAGGGAGGGGGGAGGCCAGCCGGCCCUUGUGGGCGCGCCAAGGAGGAGGAGUCCUCCUCCUAGUAGGAGUAGGACUCCCCCUUUCCUACUCCUACUACGAGGGGGAAGAAAGGGGAAGAGGGGGGAAGGAAAGAGGGGGGCGCCGCCCCCCUCCUAUUCCAAUUCGGACCAGAGGGAGAGGGGGCGCGCGGCCCACCCUGGCCGCCCCUCUCUCUUUCCACCAAGGCCCAUGUGGCCCAUUAUCUCUCCCCGGGGGGUUCCGGUAACCCUCCGGCACUCCGGUUUUCUCCGACAACGUCAGGAACACUUCCGGUGUCCGAAUAUAGUCGUCCAAUAUAUCAAUCUUUAUGUCUCGACCAUUUCGAGACUCCUCGUCAUGUCCGUGAUCACAUCCGGGACUCCAAACAAACUUCGGUACAUCAAAACUUAUAAACUCAUAAUAAAACUGUCAUCGUAAUGUUAAGCGUGCGGACCCUACGGGUUCGAGAACUAUGUAGGCAUGACCUAGAACUAUUCUCGAUCAAUAACAAAUAGCGGAACCUGGAUGCCCAUAUUGGUUCCUACAUAUUCUACGAAGAUCUUUAUCGGUUAAACCGCAUAACAACAUACGUUGUUCCCUUUGUCAUCGGUAUGUUACUUGCCCGAGAUUUGAUCAUCGGUAUCCAAUACCUAGUUCAAUAUCGUUACCGGCAAGUCUCUUUACUCGUUACGUAAUGCAUCAUCCCGUAACCAACUCGUUGGUCACAUUGCUUGCAAGGCUUAUAGUGAUGUGCAUUACCGAGAGGGCCCAGAGAUACCUCUGCGACAAUCGGAGUGACAAAACCUAAUCUCGAAAUACGCCAACUCAACAUGUACCUUCGGAGACACCUGUAGUACUCCUUUAUAAUCACCCAGUUACGUUGUGACGUUUGGUAGUACCCAAAGUGUUCCUCCGGUAAACGGGAGUUGCAUAAUCUCAUAGUUACAGGAACAUGUAUAAGUCAUGAAGAAAGCAAUAGCAAUAUACUAAACGAUCAAGUGCUAGGAUAACGGAAUGGGUCAUGUCAAUCACAUCAUUCUCCUAAUGAUGUGAUCCCAUUAAUCAAAUGACAACACAUGUCUAUGGUUAGGAAACAUAACCAUCUUUGAUUAAUGAGCUAGUCAAGUAGAGGCAUACUAGUGACUAUAUGUUUAUCUAUGUAUUCACACAUGUAUCAUGUUUCCGGUUAAUACAAUUCUAGCAUGAAUAAUAAACAUUUAUCAUGAAAUAAGGAAAUAAAUAAUAACUUUAUUAUUGCCUCUAGGGCAUAUUUCCUUCAGUCUCCCACUUGCACUAGAGUCAAUAAUCUAGUUCAUAUCGCUAUGUGAUUUAACACCAAUAUUCACAUCUGCAUGUGAUUAAUACCCAUAGUUCACAUCAUCAUGUGAUCAACACCCAAAGGGUUUACUAGAGUCAAUAAUCUAGUUCACAUCGCUAUGUGAUUAACACCCAAAAGAGUACUAAGGUAUGAUCAUGUUUUGCUCGUGAGAGAAGCUUAGUCAACGGGUCUGUCAUAUUUAGAGCCGUAUGUAUUUCGUAAAUAUUCUAUAUCCACAAUGCUCUGCACGGAGUUACUCUAGCUAAUUGCUCCCACUUUCAAUAUGUAUCCAGAUUGAGACUUAGAGUCAUCUGGAUUGGUGUAAAAGCUUGCAUCGUUGUAACUUUAACGAUGGGCUCUUUUAUCACCUCCAUAAUCGAGAAACAUCUCCUUAGUCCUCACUAAGGAUAUUCUUGACCCAUGUCCAGUGAUCUACUUAUUAGAUCAAAAUUGUAUUCCUUUGCCAAACACAGAGCAAGGUAUACAAUAGGUCUGGUUCACAACAUAGCAUACUUUAUAUAACCUAUGACUGAGGCAUAGGGAAUGACUUUUCAUUCUCUUUCUAUUUUCUGCAAUGGUCGGGUCUUGAGUCUUACUCAACUUCACACCUUGUAACACAUGCAAGAACUCCUUCUUUGACUGUUCCAUUUUGAAAUAUUUCAAAAAUUUAUCAAGGUAUGUACUCAUUGAAAAAUCUUAUCAAGCGUCUUGAUCUAUCUAUAUAGAUCUUGAUGCUCAAUGUGGAAGCAGCUUCACCGAGGUCUUGCUUUGAAAAGCUCUUAUUCAAGUAUCCUUUCAUGCUAUCCAGAAUUUCCAUAUCAUUUCCAAUUAACAAUAUGUCAUCCACAUAUAAUAUUAGAAAUGCUACAGAGCUCCCACUCACUUUCUUGUAAAUACAUGCUUCUUCAAAAGUCUGUAUAAAACCAUAUGCUUUGAUCAACUCAUCAAAGCAUAUAUUCCAACUCCGAGAUGCUUGCACCAGUCCAUAGAUGGAUCGCUGGAGCUUGCACAAUUUGUUAGCACCUUUAGGAUUGACAAAACCUUCUGGUUGCAUCAUAUACAACUCUUCUUUAAGAAAACCAUUAAGGAAUGCAGUUUUGUUUAUCCAUUUGCCAGAUUUCAUAAAAUGCGGCAAUUGCUAACAUGAUUCAGACAGACUUAAGCAUAGAUACGAGUGAAAAACUCUCAUCGUAGUCAACACCUUGAACUUGUCGAAAACCUUUUGCGACAAUUCUAGCUUUGUAGAUAGUAACACUAUCAGCGUCUGUCUUCCUCUUGAAGAUCCAUUUAAUCUCAAUGUCUCGCCGAUCAUUGGGCAAGUCAAUCAAAGUCCAUACUUUGUUUUCAUACAUGGAUCUUAUCUCAGAUCUCAUGGCCUCAAGCCAUUUUGCGGAACCUGGGAUCACCAUCGCUUCUUCAUAGUUCGUAGGUUCAUCAUGGUCUAGUAACAUAACUUCCAGAACAGGAUUACCGUACCACUCUGGUGCGGAUCUUACUCUGUAAGACCUACGAGGUUCUGUAAUAACUUAAUCUGAAGUUUCAUGAUCAUCAUCAUUAACUUCCUCACUAAUUGGUGUAGUAGUCACAGGAACAGAUUUCUGUGAUGAACUACUUUUAAAUGAGGGAGCAGGUACAGUUACCUCAUCAAGUUCUACUUUCCUCCCACUCACUUGUUUCGAGAGAAACUCCUUCUCUAGAAAGGAUCCAUUCUUAGCAACGAAUGUCUUGCCUUUGGAUCUGUGAUAGAAGGUAUACCCAACUGUUUCUUUUGGGUAUCCUAUGAAGACACAUUUCUCCGAUUUAGGUUCGAGCUUAUCUGGUUGAAGUUUCUUCACAUAAGCAUCGCAGCCCCAAACUUUAAGAAACGACAACUUUGGUUUCUUGCCAAACCACAGUUCAUAAGGCGUCAUCUCAACAGAUUUUGAUGGUGCCCUAUUUAACGUGAAUGCGGCCGUCUCUAAAGCAUAACCCUAGAAUGAUAGCGGUAAAUCAGUAAGAGACAUCAUAGAUCGCACCAUAUCUAGUAAAGUACGAUUACGAUGUUCGGACACACCAUUUCGUUGUGGUGUUCCGGGUGGCGUGAGCUGCGAAACUAUUCUGCAUUGUUUCAAAUGUAAACCAAACUCGUAACUCAAAUAUUCUCCUCCAUGAUCAGAUCGUAGGAAUUUUAUUUUCUUGUUACGAUGAUUUUCCACUUCACUCUGAAAUUCUUUGAACUUUUCAAAUGUUUCAGACUUGUGUUUCAUUAAGUAGAUAUACUCAUAUCUGCUUAAAUCAUCUGUGAAGGUGAGAAAAUAACGAUAUCCGCCACGAGCUUCAACAUUCAUCGGACCGCAUACAUCUGUAUGUAUGAUUUCCAACAAAUCUGUUGCUCUCUCCAUAGUACCGGAGAACGGUGAUUUAGUCAUCUUGCCCAUGAGGCACGGUUCGCAAGUACCAAGUGAUUCAUAAUCAAGUGAUUCCAAAAUUCCAUCAGUAUGGAGUUUCUUCAUGCGCUUUACACCGAUAUGACCUAAACAGCAGUGCCACAAAUAAGUUGCACUAUCAUUAUUAACUCUGCAUCUUUUGGCUUCGACAUUAUGAAUAUGUGUAUCACUACUAUCGAGAUUCAACAAAAAUAGACCACUCUUGAAGGGUGCAUGACCAUAAAAGAUAUUACUCAUAUAAAUAGAACAACCAUUAUUCUCUGAUUUAAAUGAAUAACCGUCUCGCAUCAAACAAGAUCCAGAUAUAAUGUUCAUGCUCAACGCUGGCACCAAAUAACAAUUAUUCAGGUCUAAAACUAAUCCCGAAGGUAGAUGUAGAGGUAGCGUGCCGACCGUGAUCACAUCGACUUUGGAACUGUUUCCCACGCGCAUCGUCACCUCAUCCUUGGCCAGUGCUUGCUUAUUUCGUAGUCCCUGUUUCGAGUUGCAAAUGUUAGCAACAGAACCAGUAUCAAAUACCCAGGUGCUACUACGAGCUCUAGUAAGGUACACAUCAAUAACAUGUAUAUCACAUAUACCUUUGUUCACCUUGCCAUCCUUCUUAUCCGCCAAAUACUUGGGGCAGUUCCGCUUCUAGUGUCCAGUCUGCUUGCAGUAGAAGCACUCAGUUUCAGGCUUAGGUCCAGACUUGGGUUUCUUCUCUUGAGCAGCAACUUCCUUGCUGUUCUUCUUGAAGUUCCCCUUCUUCUUCCCUUUGCCCUUUUUCUUGAAACUAGUGGUCUUGUUAACCAUCAACACUUGAUGCUCCUUCUUGAUUUCUACUUCCGCAACUUUUAGCAUUGCGAAGAGCUCGGGAAUUGUCUUGUUCAUCCCUUGCAUAUUAUAGUUCAUCACGAAGCUCUUGUAGCUUGGUGGCAGUGAUUGGAGAAUUCUGUCAAUGACACUAUCAUCAGGAAGAUUAACUCCCAGUUGAAUCAAGUGAUUAUUAUACCCAGACAUUUUGAGUAUGUGUUCACUGACAGAACUAUUCUCCUCCAUCUUGCAGCUAUAGAACUUAUUGGAGACUUCAUAUCUCUCAAUCCGGGCAUUUGCUUGAAAUAUUAACUUCAACUCCUGGAACAUCUCAUAUGCUCCAUGAUGUUCAAAACGUCGUUGAAGACCCGGUUCUAAGCCGUAAAGCAUGGCACACUGAACUAUCGAGUAGUCAUCAGCUUUGCUCUGCCAGACGUUCUUAACGUUGUCAGUUGCAUCAGCAGCAGGCCUAGCACCCAGCGGUGCUUCCAGGACGUAAUUCUUCUGUGCAGCAAUGAGGAUAAUCCUCAAGUUACGGACCCAGUCCGUGUAAUUGCUACCAUCAUCUUUCAACUUUGCUUUCUCAAGGAACGCAUUAAAAUUCAACGGAACAACAGCACGAGCCAUCUAUCUACAACAAACAUAGAUAAGCAAAAUACUAUCAGGUACUAAGUUCAUGAUAAAUUUAAGUUCAAUUAAUCAUAUUACUUAAAACUCCCACUUAGACAGACAUCUCUCUAGUCAUCUAAGUGAUCAUGUGAUCCAAAUCAACUAAACCAUAACCGAUCAUCACGUGAGAUGGAGUAGUUUUCAAUGGUGAACUUCACUAUGUUGAUCAUAUCUACUAUAUGAUUCACGCUCGACCUUUCGGUCUCCGUGUUCCGAGGCCAUAUCUACAUAUGCUAGGCUCGUCGAGUUUAACCUGAGUAUUCUGCGUGUGCAAAACUGGCUUGCACCCGUUGUAUAUGGACGUAGAGCUUAUCACACCCGAUCAUCACGUGGUGUCUGGGCACGAAGAACUUUGGCAACGGUGCAUACUCAGGGAGAACACUUCUUGAUAAUUUUAGUGAGAGAUCAUCUUAAAAUGCUACCGUUAAUCAAAGCAAGAUAAGAUGCAUAAAGGAUAAACAUCACAUGCAAUCAAUAUAAGUGAUAUGAUAUGGCCAUCAUCAUCUUGUGCUUGUGAUCUCCAUCUCCGAAGCACCAUCGUGAUCACCAUCGUCACCGGCGCGACACCUUCAUCUUCAUCGUAGCAUCGUUGUUAUUUACGCCAUCUAUUGCUUCUACGACUAUCGCUACCACUUAGUGAUAAAGUAAAGCAAUUACAGGGCGUUUGCAUUUCAUACAAUAAAGCGACAACCAUAUGGCUCCUGCCAGUUGCCGAUAACUUCGGUUACAAAACAUGAUCAUCUCAUACAAUAAAAUAUAGCAUCACGUCUUGACCAUAUCAUAUCACAACAUGCCCUGCAAAAACAAGUUAGACGUCCUCUACUUUGUUGUUGCAAGUUUUACGUGGCUGCUACGGGCUUAGCAAGAACCGUUCUUACCUACGCAUCAAAACCACAACGAUAGUUCGUCAAGUUAGUGCUGUUUUAACCUUCGCAAGGACCGGGCGUAGCCACACUCGAUUCAGCUAAAGUGAGAGAGACAGACACCCGCCAGCCACCUUUAAGCACGAGUGCUCGUAACGAUGAAACCAGUCUCGCGUAAGCGUACGCGUAAUGUCGGUCCGAGCCGCUUCAUCUCACAAUACCGCCGAACCAAAGUAUGAAAUGCUGGUAAGCAGUAUGACUUGUAUCGCCCACAACUCACUUGUGUUCUACUCGUGCAUAUGACAUCUACGCAUAAAACCUGGCUCGGAUGCCACUGUUGGGUAACGUAGUAAUUUCAAAAAAAUUCCUACGUACACGCAAGAUCAUGAUGAUGACAUAGCAACGAGAGGGGAGAGUGUUGUCCACGUACCCUCGUAGACCGUAAGCGGAAGCGUUAUGACAACGCGGUUGAUGUAGUCGUACAUCUUCAUGAUCCGACAGAUCCAAGCACCGAACGUACGGCACCUCCGAGUUCAGCACACGUUCAGCUCGAUGACGAUCCCCGGGCUCCGAUCCAGCAAAGCUUCGGGGAUGAGUUCCGUUAGCACGACGGCGUGGUGACGAUGAUGAUGUUGUGCCGGCGCAGGGCUUCGCCUAAACUCCGCGACGAUAUGACCGAGGUGGAAUAUGGUGGAGGGGGCACCGCACAUGGCUAAGGAACGAUCCGUAGAUCAACUUGUGUGUCCUGGGGUGCCCCCCUGCCCCCGUAUAUAAAGGAGGGAGGGGGGAGGCCGGCCGACCCUUGUGGGCGCGCCAAGGAGGAGGAGUCCUCCUCCUAGUAGGAGUAGGACUCCCCCUUUCCUACUCCUACUAGGAGGGGGAAGGAAGGGGAAGAGGGGGGAAGGAAAGAGGGGGGCGCCGCCCCCCUCCUAGUCCAAUUCGGACUAGAGGGAGAGGGGGCGCGCGACCCACCCUGGCCGCCCCUCUCUCUUUCCACAAAGGCCCAUGUGGCCCAUUAUCUCUCCCCAGGGGGUUCCGGUAACCCUCCAGCACUCCGAUUUUCUCCGACAACGUCCGGAACACUUCCGGUGUCCGAAUAUAGUCGUCCAAUAUAUCAAUCUUUAUGUCUCGACCAUUUCGAGACUCCUCGUCAUGUCCGUGAUCACAUUCGGGACUCCGAACAAACUUCAGUACAUCAAAACUUAUAAACUCAUAAUAAAACUGUCAUCGUAACGUUAAGCGUGCGGACCCUACGGGUUCGAGAACUAUGUAGACAUGACCUAGAACUAUUCUCGGUCAAUAACCAAUAGCGGAACCUGGAUGCCCAUAUUGGUUCCUACAUAUUCUACGAAGAUCUUUAUCGGUCAAACCGCAUAACAACAUACGUUGUUCCCUUUGUCAUCGGUAUGUUACUUGCCCGAGAUUUGAUCGUCGGUAUCCAAUACCUAGUUCAAUCUCGUUACCGGCAAGUCUCUUUACUCGUUACGUAAUGCAUCAUCCCGUAACCAACUCAUUGGUCACAUUGCUUGCAAGGCUUAUAGUGAUGUGCAUUACCGAGAAGGCCCAGAGAUACCUCUCCGACAAUCGGAGUGACAAAACCUAAUCUCAAAAUACGCCAACUCAACAUGUACCUCCGGAGACACCUGUAGUACUCCUUUAUAAUCACCCAGUUACGUUGUGACGUUUGGUAGUACCCAAAGUGUUCCUCCGGUAAACGGGAGUUGCAUAAUCUCGUAGUUACAGGAACAUGUAUAAGUCAUGAAGAAAGCAAUAGCAAUAUACUAAACGAUCAAGUGCUAGGCUAACGGAAUGGGUCAUGUCAAUCGCAUCAUUCUCCUAAUGAUGUGAUCCCAUUAAUCAAAUGACAACACAUGUCUAUGGUUAGGAAACAUAACCAUCUUUGAUUAAUGAGCUAGUCAAGUAGAGGCAUACUAGUGACUAUAUGUUUGUCUAUGUAUUCACACAUGUAUCAUGUUUCCGGUUAAUACAAUUCUAGCAUGAAUAAUAAACACUUAUCAUGAAAUAAGGAAAUAAAUAAUAACUUUAUUAUUGCCUCUAGGGCAUAUUUCCUUCAUUGACCGCCGCCCCCCAUCUAGAUGGGAUCUAGAGGGGCCGGCGCCCUCCUGGACCCCUAUAUAAAGAGGGGGGAGGGAGGGCUGCGAACCCUAGCCCUUGGCGCCUCCCUCUCCCUCCCGUGACACCUCUCCCUCUCGUUGUGCUUGGCGAAGCCCUGCCGAGAUCACUGCUGCAUCCACCACCACGCCGUCGUGCUACUGGAUCUCCAUCAACCUCUCCUUCCCCCUUGCUGGAUCAAGAAGGAGGAGACGUCUUCCCAACCGUACAUGUGUUGAGCGCAGAGGUGCCGUCCGUUCGGCGCUAGGAUCUCCGGUGAUUUGGAUCACGACGAGUACGACUCCCUCAGCCCCGUUCUCUUGAACGCUUCCGCGCGCGAUCUACAAGGGUAUGUAGAUGCACUCCUCUCUCUCGUUGCUAGACGACUCCAUAGAUUGAUCUUGGUGAAGCAUAGAAAAUUUUAUUUUCUACAAUGUUCCCCUACAGUAGCAUCAUGAGCUAGGUCUAUGCGUAGUUUCUAUGCACGAGUAGAACACAAACUUGUUGUGGGCAUAGAUGUUGUAAAUUUUCUUGCCACUACUAGUCUUAUCUUGCUUCGGCGGCAUCAUGGGAUGAAGUGGCCCAGACCGACCUUACACGUACGCUUACGUGAGACACAUUCCACCGACUGACAUGCACUAGUUGCAUAAGGUGGCUAGCGGGUGUCUGUCUCUCCCACUUUAGUUGGAGCAGAUUCGAUGAAAAGGGUCCUUAUAAAGGGUAAAUAGAAAUUGGCACAUCACGUUGUGGUUUUACGUAGGUAAGAAACAUUCUUGCUAGAAACCUAUAGAAGCCACGUAAAAACUUGCAACAACAAUUAGAGGACGUCUAACUUGUUUUUGCAGCAUAUGCCUUGUGAUGUGAUAUGGCCAAAAGGAUGUGAUGAAUGAAACAUAUGUGAUGUAUGAGAUUGAUCAUGUUCUUGUAAUAGGAAUCACGACUUGCAUGUCGAUGAGUAUGAUAACCGGCAGGAGCCAUAGGAGUUGUCUUUAUCUUUUUGUAUGACCUGCGUGUCAUUGAAUAACGCCAUGUAAAUCACUUUACUUUAUUGCUAAACACGUUAGCCUUAGAAGUAGAAGUAAUCGUUGGCGUGAUAACUUCAUGAAGACACGAUGAUGGAGAUCAUGGUGUUAUGCCGGUGACGAAGAUGAUCAUGGCGCCCCAUAGAUGGAGAUCAAAGGAGCAAUAUGAUGUUGGCCAUAUCAUGUCACUAUUUGAUUGCAUGUGAUGUUUAUCAUGUUUUACAUCUUAUUUGCUUAGAACGACGGUAGCUUAAAUAAGAUGAUCCCUCGCAUAAUUUCAAGAAAGUGUUCCCCCUAACUGUGCACCGUUGCGAAGGUUCGUUGUUUCGAAGCACCACGUGAUGAUCGGGUGUGAUAGAUCCUAACGUUCGAAUACAACGGGUGUAAGCCAGAGUUACACACGCAAUACACUUAGGUUGACUUGACGAGCCUAGCAUGUACAGACAUGGCCUCGGAACAUGGAAGACCAAAAGGUCGAGCAUGAUUCAUAUAGAAGAUACGAUCAACAUGAAGAUGUUCACCGAUGUUGACUAGUCUGUCUCACGUGAUGAUCGGACACGGCCUAGUUGACUCGGAUCAUGUUUCACUUAGAUGACUAGAGGGAUGUCUGUCUGAGUGGGAGUUCAUUGAAUAAUUUGAUUAGAUGAACUUAAUUAUCAUGAACUUAGUCUAAAAUCUUUACAAUAUGUCUUGUAGAUCAAAUGGCCCACGCUAAUGUUGCCCUCAACUUCAACGCGUUCCUAGAGAAAACCAAGCUGAAAGAUGAUGGCAGCAACUAUACGGACUGGGUCCGGAACCUGAGGAUCAUCCUCAUAGCUGCAAAGAAAGAUUAUGUCCUGGAAGCACCGCUAGGUGAAGCACCCAUCCCAGAGAACCAAGACAUUAUGAACGCUUGGCAGUCUCGUGCUGAUGAUUACUCCCUCGUUUAGUGCGGCAUGCUUUACAGCUUAGAACUGGAGCUCCAAAAGCGUUUGAGCAACAUGGAGCAUAUGAGAUGUUCGAAGAGCUGAAAAUGGUUUUACACGCUCAUGCCCGGGUCGAGAGAUAUGAAGUCUCUGACAAGUUCUUCAGUUGUAAGAUAGAGGAAAAUAGUUCUGUCAGUGAGCACAUACUCAAAAUGUCUGGGUUGCACAACCGCUUGACUUAGCUGGGAGUUAAUCUCCUGGAUGACAUGGUUAUUGACAGAAUCCUUCAGUCGCUUCCACCAAGCUACAAGAGCUUUGUGAUGAACUUCAAUAUGCAGGGGAUGGAAAAGACCAUUCCUGAGGUAUAUUCAAUGCUGAAAUCAGCAGAGGUAGAGAUCAAAAAGGAGCAUCAAGUGUUGAUGGUGAAUAAAACCACUAAGUUCAAGAAAGGCAAGGGUAAGAAGAACUUCAAGAAGGACGGCAAGGGAGUUGCCGCGCCCGGUAAGCCAGUUGCCGGGAUGAAGCCAAAGAAUGGACCCAAACUUGAGACUGAGUGCUUUUAUUGCAAGGGAAGUGGUCACUAGAAGCGGAACUGCCCCAAGUACUUAGCAGACAAGAAGGCCGGCAACACCAAAGGUAUAUGUGAUAUACAUGUUAUUGAUGUGUACCUUACCAGCACUCGUAUUAGCUCCUGGGUAUUUGAUACCGGCGCGGUUGCUCAUAUUUGUAACUCAAAGCAGGAGCUGCGGAAUAAGCGGAGACUGGUGAAGGACGAGGUGACGAUGCGCGUCAGGAAUGGUUCCAAGGUCGAUGUGAUCGCCGUCGGCACGCUACCUCUACAUUUACCUACGAGAUUAGUUUUAAACCUCAAUAAUUGUUAUUUAGUGCCAGCUUUGAGCAUGAACAUUGUAUCUGGAUCUCAUUUAAUACGAGGUGGCUACUCAUUUAAAUCCGAGAAUAAUGGUUGUUCUAUUUAUAUGAGAGAUAUGUUUUAUGGUCAUGCCCCGCUGGUCAAUGGUUUAUUCUUAAUGAAUCUCGAACGUGAUGUUACACAUAUUCAUAGUGUGAAUACCAAAAUAUGUAUGGUUGAUAACGAUAGUCCCAUAUACUUGUGGCACUGCCGCCUUGUUCACAUUGGUGUCAAGCGCACGAAGAAGCUCCAUGCUGAUGGACUUUUAGAGUCUCUCGAUUAUGAAUUGUUUGACACAUGCGAACCAUGCCUCAUGGGCAAAAUGACCAAGACUCCGUUCUCCGGAACAAUGGAGCGAGCAACCAACUUAUUGGAAAUCAUACAUACUGAUGUGUGCGGUCCAAUGAGCGUUGAGGCUCGUGGAGGCUAUCGUUAUGUUCUCACUCUCACUGAUGACUUGAGUAGAUAUGGGUAUGUCUACUUGAUGAAACACAAGUCUGAGACCUUUGAAAAGUUCAAGGAAUUUCAGAAUGAGGUAGAGAAUCAACGUGACCAAAAGAUAAAGUUCUUACGAUCACAUCGUGGGGAAGAAUAUUGAAGUCACGAAUUUGGUACGCACUUAAGGAAAUGUGGAAUCGUUUCACAACUCACGCCGCCUGAAACACCUCAGCGUAACGGUGUGUCCAAACAUCGUAAUCGCACUCUAUUGGAUAUGGUGCGAUCUAUGAUGUCACUCACCGAUUUACCGCUAUCAUUUUGGGGAUACGCUCUCGAGACAGCUACAUUCAUUUUAAAUAGGGCACCGUCUAAAUCCUUUGAGACGACACUGUAUGAAUCAUGGUUUGGGAAGAAACCUAAGCCGUCGUUUCUAAAAGUUAGGGGAUGCGAUCACUACAAGAAAUAUGUCAACUAGUGACCUUCUGUCAGUGACCCUGGAAGAAUUGGUCAUAGAUCUAUAACCAUUUCAGACCAAUUGGUCAAAAGCUGUUCGGGGGGCUCCAAACCCUAAACCAUUGCGACCAUUUUGGUCAGAAAGAUCGUAAUUUCCUUACACGAAAUGGCCACAAAGCAAAUAGUGCUAGUCCGCUCCUUAUUUCUAGUUGUUAAUUACCAAUAUAGAUGGUCAUAGCCUUGUAGAUUGUCGUGGGUUGUGAUGACUAGGCGCCAUCUCAUCAGUUUUGCCUAUGUGUCAUGUCCAUGUGGCAGUUUUUGCCCUAGGUUGUGAAGCAACAUAUAUUUCUGUUAUUCCAAAAAUUCCCAAAAAAUUCUCAUAAAUGUUUUGGAUCAUAUCUUCAUCAAAUAUGUCAAAAACAUUCCUUGCCUAGUUCAAAAAUAAUUCGAAAAUAUUCAUUUUCCUAUUCUGUUCACAACAUCACUUUGUGAAGGAAGUACCAUUUUGGCAUGUCCAAAUGGUAUCCAUUUUCUACAGUGCUUUCCUCUACCCAAAUAACCAUCCUCCACCAAAUGUCAGCUCAAUCCAUUCAUUAUUUUGAGCCCAGCUUCAAAAUUCGUAUUUAUGUCCAGUGUGGUACUUUAUAAAGCAAGUACCACCUAGGCUCCUCCUUUUGAGGUGAAAAUUUGUGAAGACGGUCUUCUUAGUAACUGAUCAUCCUCAGCCAAAACUCAUGCCCAUUGGCCAUGUGCAUUUCACGUACCGCAAAUCAAACACUUGGCUGCUUAUUCAUGUUUGAGCAUCGAUCGGUCUCCUCGUGAGAAUCUUAUGUUGUGAUUUUCUUCCUAGCACCUACCUGUGGAGUGCCCAACCCACUAGACAUGCCUAGGCCGCCCAGAACACAUGGCAACGCAACAGGCACGCGGUGACCACGCGGCGGGCAUGCGAGCUUACGCGCUCUAGAGUUGGGGCCCUCGUCCACCGUCCAAACCUCGAUGUCUCACCAUCAAACCAUGUAUUUCUGAUUAAAUAGAUACUUAUUUACCUAGAAAUGAUUUUUGGAAAAAAUAGAGAGCAAACUAUGAGGCGGCUGCAGUUCAAAUUUGACCCGCUUCCAACUGAAUCGACGGGAAUUUGUCUUUCUCACCAGAGGUGGAUCAAAAUUUUUGACACCCAACCAUUUUGUCAAUUGUGCAUUAUAUAUGGCCUAGUAUUCUAUAAAAUUGAUUAGGUCCAAUUUUGCAACAAUUAUUUGGUAGUUCCUUCACAAAAAAACUCAUUUCAGGCACUCAGAAAAUGAAAAAUGAAUUUUCCGUGCAAAGAAAAUGAAAACUUCCUUAGGCAACAUUGUUUGUCAUUCCAAGAUGCACCCAUUUGCAUGAUAUGAGAAUAUUUGAACAAACUAUGCCAUGAAUGUGGCCAUAAGAUUGAUCAUUUGGCUUGAAAGCCAUGAAUCUUCACACAUGAUAGCUCAUUUCUGAGAACAUUUUUUUAAAAUAAUUACCGUAUUACAAGUUUAUUAUUUUUCCUGAAAACUUGGUCACAUAUAAUGACACAAUGCGAAGGUUUUCCAAUUUUUUGAUUUUUUUUUUAAUUUUUUAUGCCCGUUUCAAAAUGCGGUCAAAACGGCGGGCUUGACCGUUUCUAGCUAGUGGUUGAACCUUGGAAUUUUUUUGGUGUUUCUAUGAUUAAUUAGAUACAUAUUUACCUAGAAAUGAUUUUUGGAAAAAAUAAAGAGCAAACUAUGAGGCAGUUGCAGUUCAAAUUUGACCCGCUUCUAACUGAAUCGACGGGAAUUCGUCUUUUUCACCAGAGGUGAAUCAAAACUUUUGACACCCAACCAUUUUGUCAAUUGUGCAUUAUAUAUGGCCUAUUAUUUUAUAAAAUUGAUUAGGUCCAAUUUUGUAACAAUUAUUUGGUAGUUCCUUCACAAAAAAAACUCAUUUCAGGCACUCAAAAAAUGAAAAAAGAAUUUUUCGUGCAAAGAAAAUGAAAACUUCCUUAGGCAACAUUGUUUGCCAUUCCAAGAUGCACCUUUGUGAACAAUAUGAGAUCAUUUGAACAAACUAUGCCAUGAAUGUGGCCAUAAGAUUGAUCAUUUGGCUUGAAAGCCAUGAAUCUUCACGCAUGAUAGCUCAUUUCUGAGAACACUUUUUUAAAAUAAUUACCGUAUUACAAGUUUGUUAUUUUUCUUGGAAACUUGGUCACAUAUAAUGACACAAUGCGAAGGUUUUCCAAUUUUUUUAUUUUUUUUGAAUUUUUUAUGCCCAUUUCAAAAUGCGGUCAAAACGGCGGGCUUGACCGUUCCUAGCUAGUGGUUGAAUCUUGGAAUUUUUUUGGUGUUUCUAUGAUUAAAUAGAUACUUAUUUACCUAGAAAUGAUUUUCGAAAAAAAUAGAGAGCAAACUAUGAGGCAGCUGCAGUUCAAAUUUGACCCGCUUCCAAUUGAAUCGGCGGAAAUUUGUCUUUUUCACCAGAGGUGAAUCAAAAGGUUUUACACCCAACCAUUUUGUCAAUUGUGCAUUAUAUAUGGCCUAGUAUUUUAUAAAAUUGAUUAGGUCCAAUUUUGCAACAAUUAUUUGGUAGUUCCUUCACAAAAAAACUCAUUGCAGGCACUCAGAAAAUGAAAAAUGAAUUUUUCGUGCAAAGAAAAUGAAAACUUCCUUAGGCAACAUUGUUUGCCAUUCCAAGAUGCACCUUUGUGAACAAUAUGAGAUCAUUUGAACAAACUAUGCCAUGAAUGUGGCCAUAAGAUUGAUCAUUUGGCUUGAAAGCCAUGAAUCUUCACGCAUGAUAGCUCAUUUCUGAGAACACUUUUUAAAAAUAAUUUCCGUAUUACAAGUUUAUUAUUUUUCCAAGAAACUUGGUUACAUAUAAUGACACAAUGCGAUGGUUUUCCAUUUUUUUGUUUUUUUUUGGAAUUUUUUAUGCCCAUUUUAAAAUGCGGUCAAAAUGGCGGGCUUGACCGUUCCUAGCUAGUGGUUGAAUCUUGGAAAACUUUUGAUGUUUCUCUGAUUAAAUAGAUACUUAUAUACUUAGAAAUGAUUUUUGGAAAAAAUAAAGAGCAAACUAUGAGGUAGCUGUAGUUCAAAUUUGACCCGCUUUCAACUGAAUCGGCGAAAAAUUGUCUUUUUCAUCAGAGGUGGAUCAAAACUUUUUACACACAACCAUUUGGUCAAUUGUGCAUUAAAUAUGGCCUAGUAUUUUAGAAAAUUUAUGUUGUACAAUUUUGCAAGAAUUAUUUGGUAGGUCCUUCACAAAAAAACUCAUUUUGGGCACUCAAAAAAUAAAAAAUUGAUUUUUCAUGCAAAGAAAAUAAAAACUCCCUUUGUCAAUAUUGUUUUCUAAUCUAAGAUGUAAACUUGUGCAAAAUAUGGUAUCAUUUGAACAAAUAUUUGGUUGAUCUUUUACAAAAAAACUCAUUUUGAGCAUUGAAAAAUGAAAAUGAUUUUUUCGUGAAAAACUUAUGUUUGAUUACGACCAAUUUAGAUGGUCAUAAGGUCUUCAAAUUGUUUGUUGCGUUCUGAUUGAUCCAUAUACAUCUCACGCGGAUCGAUCAUCAGACACCGUCCGAUUGUCCAGGAUCCAACGGCUGCCUUCACCCCACACGUCUCACCCACUUAACCCUAAACAGACCGCCUCCCCCCUCACCCUCUCUCCUAUGCACUCACAGCCGCCGCCCCCAACCAUCUCCCUCCCUCAGAUCUCGAUCCGCCGCCGCCACCCCCAACCCACCCCCACCGCCACCGUCGACGACCCUCACCGUAGACGAGGUCGAGGCCGACCCUAGAUCGAGCCCAUGCCCAGACUCACGAGUGAAGCCUCAUGGAGCUGCCCACAAACUGCACCCCUUCGCAACCNNNNNNNNNNNNNNNNNNNNNNNNNNNNNNNNNNNNNNNNNNNNNNNNNNNNNNNNNNNNNNNNNNNNNNNNNNNNNNNNNNNNNNNNNNNNNNNNNNNNNNNNNNNNNNNNNNNNNNNNNNNNNNNNNNNNNNNNNNNNNNNNNNNNNNNNNNNNNNNNNNNNNNNNNNNNNNNNNNNNNNNNNNNNNNNNNNNNNNNNNNNNNNNNNNNNNNNNNNNNNNNNNNNAUCCACCCAUGGAAACCCCCUCUUCCACGGAUCCACCCACCCACCCACGCCCACCCAUGGAUGGAUGGAUGGGGCACACCAGUUCUGGCGAUGGUGGCGCCGGAUCCGCACCCACCUGUGCGAUGGAGGUCGGCCGCAUCGGAAUCCACCUGCGCGACGGAGGCCGACCGGAUCGGUGUGGCGCGGCACACCACACCAUACCGGAGCUUGCUGAUGCGGUGGUCGUCGACAAUGGUGCAUCUCCGACGGGACCUAGCCACCAAGGUACGUAUGCCGUUCUUGCCAACCCUAUCCACUCCCGAUUUGACCUUCCCCCGCUCGAUUCCGCUCCCAAUUCCACCAACCCUAAGCUCGGUCUUGUGGGUGUAUCCGACCGUCAUGUUCCUGACAACCUUGUCUCGGUUUCCUGUGCAGGAACUGUCCUCAACUUCGUCAACGAGGUAAAACCCUCCCUCCCCACUUAAACCCCAGAUUGCCUGCCUCCUCUUAGGGGCCAACCUUGUGCCUGCCGCCCCGUUUGCGCGAUGAGGUCUGUGGGGGUUUCCUCUCCCAUUUUGCAUCCUGUGGUGUUUUGUCCCGUGUGGCAAUGUUUGCGAACUUUAGCAGGGGAUGCGUGGUUCUGUACCAAACGAUGCUAGGUAGGUUCUGCCUCAGUACCCGUUAUACAUGUUAUACAAAUGGCAAGCGACCUAUGGAGGCGAUGAUUAUUUGUGUAGAGGUUCGUCAUGACAGCAUGCUGUUUGAUUUUUUUAUGCUGGCUGUCAUCGGUAGUUGCUUUGUGAGAGGCAACUUGAACAAUUCUGAGUUAUGUUAAAUACCACAGUUGUCAGUCCAGAUAAUCGGUCUAUGUGCAUUCCAUUACUUGUUUAUCAUAGCGUUGACAGAAUCCAAAGGACUGAAGCUGUCUUAUUCUUUAGUUCACACCAGUCUUUAGAAUUUGGUGAUGGCUCCUAAUACUGAAAAUUGUCUCAAGUUGAGAAAAUGUUUCUUUUCAGCAUGUCUUGCAUUCUAGUCUGCGGAUGUUUCAAUGUAGCCAACAUAGUUCAUUAUUGACUUCUCUUUUGAGCUGUUUCCCCUCUAUUUAACGAUUUACUCUCCAUAGAAGUGUCCGUCUCUGAUUUUGUAUUAAAAGUACGCUGAUUGUGACUGGAAGUCAAGUGCUUACGAAUGGAUACACUAGUGUUUCCAGAUAAAUUUUGCACUUCAGUAUAGGCUGUUUUUCCAUGAGCAGUAUAGGAUCACAUGUGCUAACUCUUUUCAGUAUGGCCCACCAAGGAUCAGUAACCACCUUGUUGCUAUGUUUUAGAGGAAAUAGCGUGCAUGCUACUAAUUGCAGUGCCGUUUAGCAAUUUUGUAUCUCUUCUCGUCGGAGCAAUUUGCAUGUUCUGUUUGUAUCGCUUGCUCCUUGCUGGUUCAGGUCUCAUCAAAUAAAAAGGGAAGUCAGCGGUGUUGUCUCUAUGUACCAUGCCAGCCAAGCUUACAAUCUGUUUUUAAGACUAAUAUAACAGGGAGGCUAAGCUUAAAAUAUGUAUCAUCAUCUUUCUCUUUGAGUAGAACUGAACUAGGACUUGGUAUUUGCAUCUCAACUAUAUUGUAACGUAUCCAAUGUGGCCUGCUCUGCUUUGAGUUGUUUCAAAUUUGAAUGGUUCGCUGUGUGUAGGUGUGAUCUGAAUUCUGAAUGGGUCUUUUGGCAGGUACGUGGAGGCCGGGAGCGCCAAGGCGCACCUCACAGACACGGACGUUGAUCAUGGUGUACUAGCUUUGCAAGGGCGUUGCUUUUUGCCACGGACGCAGUGUCCGGCACCAUGACCUCGAGCCACACAACGUGCAAAUUGGUGAAUGGGUUGGUAUCCUCUGGUUUGAUCCCAUAAAGAGGAAGUGUUCUCUUCUCUUUAUCAACCAAAGGCACUUUCUUCUCUCAUGGAUGGAUGGGACUCCAUCAAUUUAGUAUCAGUUUAGGUGUUAGUAUGCUGUUGAUGCUUGUGUUGAUGCCAUGCUUUUUUUCUUGUCAUGUGCUGAUAUUAACUGGUAGCAUCAGCUCCCAUGAUUGCUUGCUUGCUUACUCUACCAUGUGCUGAUAUUAAUAGUAACUUCUUGCAGAAACUCUUUGACACAAAUAUUGUCAUGCAUCAGUAGCAUGUUUGCUUGUUUUGGAGCAGCGAUUAAUUAGUUGUAAUGUUUUUCUUGUCUGAGAAACAUGUCGAGCUGCUUUCCAACCCCGUGGAAUGUUGCAAUCAAAUAUUCUUUGAUGUCCUUGCUUUUUCAGCUUUGCAAUCUUAUUCUGGAAAAUUAUUUCAAUCUGAAAUUCUUAGUUUUAGAAUAUCUAUUCAAAUUUAUUAAUUCCCUGGUUACUGUUAAGUCAAAAACCUGCAUUGCAAGAUAUACUGCAGUGCAUGUCCUUGUGGUACUAUGUGAUUUAUUAGCUGUUUGGAGAUGUACUCAUAUUGUGCCAUGUAUUUUAUUAGCUAUAUGAUUACACAUGUCAGUUUUAUUAUGAAAAUCUGGACUAUAGUAGUCAUAAUAUUGAGCUGUUGGGAGCCUCACCUUUUUGUGCACAAUACAUUUAGCACACAUAUCCACACUGAGUGCUUAUGAAAUAGCUAUGUGUCCUGCACAAUAAGUGCUUGUUCAUGUUUGGUUUUCCCUAAACUUUGUUUGUAUGCUUGAGAGCAAAUUUAGUUAAUUCUUUGAUGGAGCACUAAGACUAUGCAUGGAACAUUAGUUUUUAAGAUCUAAAACUGCUCGUCAUUCCUGUGAUGAUGUAGUUUAGUAGAUCUCAACUAAACCAUGUCUGUAUUAUGUGCCAGUGUAGCUGUACUGAUUCUUUGGUUUUCAUCCGUGCAGCAGAGGACAAGGGCGUCAUGGCCAACCAAGGCACAUGGUGCUCGCAAGCGACGAGCGGAGGUUGUUUGACAUCAGCACGGAAGAGGACGACAGGCACGGACGGAGGACAGAGCACCUCUCUUCUUCCAGGUUCUUCUCCUUAUCUUCACUUAAUGUAUGUGCCUGUGCUGCAGCUCACCCAUGGUCUUGUUUGUCUUGCAAGUUAGUGAGCAGCUUCAGGAGGAGCUCAAGCACAACCACCAAGAGGCACCACCGCAGCAACAGGUAGCACGUCCAUCUCGACCUCCCUCUCCCUCUGCUCCCAAUCCUUUUUAUUAGAUUAUGUUGAGUACAUUCUGAACCCCCUGAUGUGACACAAGUAUAUGCACAUGCUAUGAUUUAAGUGUUGCUUGUGUAUGGUAAAUAGGUUGAGAACCCACCGCUGUUUGAUACUAUUUUGUUUAGGAUUCCGUUCCUCUAUGCGUGUAAUCUCCAGACCAUGAUCAAGCAUACACACACCAGGACCUAACCAGGACAUGCACUUGUGCCAUGCAUAUUCAUAUUGUCUCUAUUGUCUUGUAUGAAUAUCUCAUUUUAACUAGCUCGGCUAAAAAAGCUUGGUACUAGCUUAAAUGUGUUUAUCAUUCUAUAAAGAAUUGUCCUUUACUCCUUCACUCCUUUUUUUGAAUGGAAUGUUCAUAAUAUAUUGGCUCCAAUUUUUCUAAUUCUUCUAAGCUGAUUCAUGUAACACGGUGAUCAUGGAAGGCAUGCAGUUGUUCUGUUAGCCCACUCCUGACUAUGGCCGUCCAGUGAGUCCGGCAUUUGAUCUCUAUUGAAGGAGCUCCAUGCUGAAGAAGAAAACACUUGUAGAGCUUGUAACAUUACUUGGAGAGCUUGUAAAGUAUUGUAGAGCUUGUAAAGUACUGUAGAGCUUGUAAAGCACUGUAUAUGUUAGAGCUUGUAUUACGUGUCAUUUGUAGAGCUUGUACUAAAUCUGGCCUAUUUAAAUACUGGUUAAAUUAUUAUGUGUGUUUUCUGAUUGCCUAUUUAAAAUCUGGUUAUUUUUUUAUUAUCAAAUUCAAAUUUGAUGUCAAAUUGAAAUAUGAAGAAUCUGAGCCUAAUAGCUAGGACCCACUUAUUAGAACCUGACAAGUGGGACCUGUUUGACUAAUGGACCCAUUCUAUAAAGAAAGAAAACUAAAAAUGUUGGUGGAAAAAGGCCAUGGCCCAGAAAAUAAAAAGGCCGAAUUUUAGGGCUUGGCCCAUGUAGUUCACUAAAAUUAGCAGGAAAAAAAUAUAAAUGGGCUGAAUUAAUGGGCUUGGCCCAUGUAGAAAACCGAAUUGGACCGGGCUGAAUCUUGUGCCACAUCAGCUUGCCACGCUGGAUGCCUACGUGGCCUGGGGAGGUUGCUAGUGACCAAAACGCCACAGUAGACGUAUUUUGGUCAUAAACGUCUACGACCUUCUCACAGAGAAGGUCGUGAAUGUCAGUUUACGACCGCCAGCUUUUGAACUUCUGUUUUUGGUCACAAAAAGGUCGCAAAUGAAAAACAGUGACCUUUCAGUGACCAAUAGUCAAGGUCACAAGUUAACAUAUUUCUUGUAGUGGAUGCUUAUGUCAAGAAACUUCAACUUGAAAAGCUCGAACCCAAGUCGGAAAAAUGCGUCUUCAUAGGAUACCCUAAGGAAACCAUUGGGUAUACCUUCUACCUCAGAUCCGAAGGCAAGAUCUUUGUUGCCAAGAACGGGUCCUUUCUGGAGAAAGAGUUUCUCUCGAAAGAAGUAAGUGGGAGGAAAGUGGAACUUGAUGAAGUACUGCCUCUUGAAAGUAGCGCAGCUCAGGAAGAUGUUCCUGUGAUGCGUGCACUGACUAGAGAGGAAACUAAUGAUGAUGAUCAAGGUACUUCGGAUCAAGUUACUACUGAACUUCGUAGGUCCAUGAGGACACGUUCCACACCAGAGUGGUAUGGAAACCCUGUCCUAGAAGUCAUGUUGUUAGACAACAGUGAACCUUCAAACUAUGAAGAAGCAAUGGCGGGCCCAAACUCCAACAAAUGGCUUGAAGCCAUGCAAUCCGAGAUAGGAUCCAUGUAUGAAAACAAAGUAUGGACUUUGAUAGACUUGCCCGAUGAUCGGCAAGUGAUAGAAAACAAAUUGAUCUUUAAGAAGAAGACGGACGCGGAUGGUAAUGUUACCAUCUAUAAAGUUCGACUUGUCGCUAAGGGUUAUCGACAAGUUCAAGGGGUUGACUACGAUGAGACUUUCUCUCCCGUAGCAAAGCUGAAGUCCGUCCGAAUCAUGUUAGAAAUUGCCGCAUACUAUGAUUAUGAGAUAUGGCAAAUGGACGUCAAAACGGCAUUCCUUAACGGCCAUCUUAAGGAAGAACUGUAUAUGAUGCAGCCGGAGGGUUUUGUCGAUCCUAAGAAUGCUAACAAGGUAUGCAAGCUCCAGCACUCCAUCUAUGGGCUGGUGCAAGCAUCUCGGAGUUGGAACAUUCACUUUAAUGAAAUGAUCAAAGCGUUUGGGUUUAUGCAGACUUAUGGAGAAGCCUGCGUUUACAAGAAAGUGAGUGGGAGCUCUGUAGCAUUUCUCAUAUUAUAUGUGGAUGACAUACUUUUGAUGGGAAAUGAUAUAGAACUUUUGGACAGCAUUAAGGCCUACUUGAAUAAGUGUUUUUCAAUGAAGGACCUUGGAGAAGCUGCUUACAUAUUAGGCAUCAAGAUCUAUAGAGAUAGAUCAUGACGCCCCAUAGGUCUUUCACAAAGCACAUACCUUGAUAAGAUAUUGAAGAAGUUCAAUAUGGAUCAGUCCAAGAAGGGGUUCUUGCCUAUGUUGCAAGGUGUGAAAUUGAGCUCGGCUCAAUGUCCGACCACGGCAGAAGAUAGAGAAAAGAUGAGUGUCGUCCCCUAUGCCUCAGCCAUAGGGUCCAUCAUGUAUGCCAUGACAUGUAUCAGACCUGAUGUAAACCUUGCCGUAAGUUUGGUAGGAAGGUACCAAAGUAAUCCCGACAUGGAACACUGGACAGCGGUCAAGAAUAUCCUAAAGUACCUAAAAAGGUCUAAGGACAUGUUUCUCGUAUAUGGAGGUGACGAAGAGCUCGUCGUAAAGGGUUACGUCGACGCUAACUUCGACACAGAUCUGGAUGACUCUAAGUCACAAACCGGAUACGUGUAUAUUUUGAAUGGUGGGGCAGUAAGCUGGUGCAGUUGCAAGCAAAGCGUCGUGGCGGGAUCUAGAUGUGAAGCGGAGUACAUGGCAGCCUCGGAGGCAGCGCAUGAAGCAAUCUGGGUGAAGGAGUUCAUCACUGACCUAGGAGUCAUACCCAAUGCGUCGGGGCCGAUCACACUCUUCUGUAACAACACCGGAGCUAUUGCACUUGCCAAGGAGCCCAGGUUUCACAAGAAGACUAGGCACAUCAAGCGUCGCUUCAACUCCAUUCGUGAAAAUGUUUAAGAUGGAGACAUAGAUAUUUGUAAAGUACAUAUGGACCUGAAUGUAGCAGAUCCGUUGACUAAACCUCUUCCUAGAGCAAAACAUGAUCAACACCAGAACUCUAUGGGUGUUCGAUUCAUCACAACGUAACUAGAUUAUUGACUCUAGUGCAAGUGGGAGACUGUUGGAAAUAUGCCCUAGAGGCAAUAAUAAAAUGGUUAUUAUUAUAUUUCCUUGUUCAUGGUAAUUGUCUAUUGUUCAUGCUAUAAUUGUCUUAUCCAGAAAUCAUAAUACAUGUGUGAAUAUAUAGACCACAACAUGUCCCUAGUGAGCCUCUAGUUGACUAGCUCGUUGAUCAACAUAUAGUCAUGGUUUCCUGACUAUGGACAUUGGAUGUCAUUGAUAACGGGAUCACAUCAUUAGGAUAAUGAUGUGAUGGACAAGACCCAAUCCUAAGCAUAGCACAAGAUCGUGUAGUUCGUUUUUCUAGAGCUUUUCCAAAUGUCAAGUAUCAUUUCCUUAGACCAUGAGAUUUUGAAACUCCCAGAUACCGUAGGAGUGCUUUGGGUGUGCCAAACGUCACAACGUAACUGGGUGACUAUAAAGGUGCACUACGGGUAUCUCCGAAAGUGUCUGCUGGGUUGGCACGAAUCGAGACUGAGAUUUGUCACUCUGUAUGACGGAGAGGUAUCUCUGGGCCUACUCGGUAAUGCAUCAUCAUAAUGAGCUCAAUUUGACCAAGUGUCUGGUCACGGGAUCAUGCAUUACGGUACGAGUAAAGUGACUUGCCGCUAACGAGAUUAAACGAGGUAUUGGGAUACCGACGAUCGAAUCUCGGGCAAGUAACGUACCGAUUGACAAAGGGAAUCGCAUAGGGGAUUGAUUGAAUCCUCGACAUCGUGGUUCAUCCGAUGAGAUCAUCGAGGAGCAUGUGGGAGCCAACAUGGGUAUCCAGAUCCCGCUGUUGGUUAUUGGACGGAGAGUCGUCUCGGUCAUGUCUGCAUGUCUCCCGAACCCGUAGGGUCUACACACUUAAGGUUCGGUGACGCUAGGGUUGUAGAGAUAUAAGUAUGCGGUAACUCAAAAGUUAUUCGGAGUCCCGGAUAAGAUCCCGAACAUCACGAGGAGUUCCGAAAUGGUCCGGAGAUGAACAAUUAUAUAUAGGAAGUCCAGUUUCGGCCAUCGGGAAAGUUUCAGGGGUCACCGGUAUUGCACCGGGACCACCGGAAGGGUCCCGGGGGUCCACCGGGUGGGGCCACCUAUCCCAGAGGGCCCCAUGGGCUGAAGUGGGAGGGGAACCAACCCCUGGUGGGCUGGUGCGCCCCCCUUGGCCUCCCCUGUGCCUAGGGUUGGAAACCCUAGGGGUGGGGGCACUCCACUUGCCUUGGGGGGCAAGCCACCCCCCUGGACCCCUAAAGAGGGGGCGAGGGAGGGCUGCGAACCCUAUCCCCUGGCGCCUCCCUCUCCCUCCCGUGACACCUCUCCCUCUCGCUGUGCUUGGCGAAGCCCUGUCGAGAUCGCUGCUGCAUCCACCACCACGCCGUCGUGCUGUUGGAUCUCCAUCAACCUCUCCUUCCCCCUUGCUGGAUCAAGAAGGAGGAGACGUCUUCCCAACCGUACGUGUGUUGAACGCGGAGGUGCCGUCCGUUUGGCGCUAGGAUCUCCGAUGAUUUGGAUCACGACGAGUACGACUCCCUCAGCCCCGUUCUCUUGAACGUUUUCGCACGCGAUCUACAAUUGUAUGUAGAUGCACUCCUCUCUCUCGUUGCUAGAUGACUCCAUAGAUUGAUCUUGGUAAAGCGUAGAAAAUUUUAUUUUCUGCAACGUUCCCCAACAGGGGCCGAAUCCCACUAGGACUGGAGUCCUAGUAGGACUCCCCUCUCCUUGGCGCGCCCCUUGUGGCCGGCGUCCUCCCCUCCUUUAUAUACGGGGGCAGGGGGCACCCCAAAGCACGACAAUUGUUUCUUAGCCGAGUGCGGUGCCCCCUCCACAGUUUACUCCUCCGGUCAUAGCGUCGUAGUGCUUAGGCGAAGCCCUGCGCGGAUCGCAUCACCAACACCGUCGCCACGCCGUCAUUCUGACGGAACUCUACCUCGACCAUCUACUGGAUCAAGAGCUCGAGGGACGUCAUCGAGCUUAACGUGUGCUGAACACAGAGGUGCCGUACGUUCGGUACUUGGAUCGGUUGGAUCAUAAAGACGUCCGAUUACAUCAACCGUGUUAACAUAACGCUUCCGCUUUUGAUCUACGAGGGUAUGUGGACACACUCUUCCCCUCUCGUUACUAUGGAUCGCCUAGAUAGAUCUUGCGUGAUUGUAGGAAAUUUUUCGAAAUUGCGUGCUACGUUCCCCAACAGAUUGAUUAGUAGAUCUUCAGAGGGAGUGGUCAUAGUACUAGGUUUAAUCUUGUGGUGCUCUAUAUCCCACUAACAAAAUAGGGACAUGACACAUAUUUGUAUUGUUGCCACUAAGGAUAGAACGACAUGGUUUGAUCUUAUUGCUAGAUUUCUUUCUUUCUAAAUUAUGUCAUCUUGCUUAUUGCGUUACUUUGUUUCUUGUAAACUUGAAUACUUUGAGAUGCAUGCUGGAUAGCAGUCUUGGGAUGGAAUAAUAGUAGUAGAUGCAGUUGGAUUAGUGGUGUACUUGUCAUGGACGUAGUGCCUAUAUGCGAUUAUGCCAUGAAUGAUCAUAGUUAUAAAGAUUGCUAUUCUUGCCAAUUAUCGAACUGUAAUUUGUUACCAUGUCGUUUUCCUUCUUUCAAGAGAGAUGCCUCUAGUGAACCUAUGACCCCCAUGUCUAUUCCUCCAUCAAUACAAACUUCUAUAAAUUUGCACUUUUACUUUCUUUUACUAUUUGCCAUUUUCAUUAUACCACUAUUAUCUAUAUAUUUCCUUUAAACCUUGUGACUAGCAACAUAAGGGACUUGACAAGCUGGGUGCAAGUAUUUUAUUUGUUUGUGUGCAUGCAGGGGUGAAACCAGUAUUUGAACAUGGGGGGGGGGGGCAAAGAUGAGAAUGCACUAGCAAAAAAUGCAGCACCAAUGUAUAUCAAUUCUUAAAUAUAUUGUAUAGAUAUCAAACAAACAAUGCUAAUAUAUUUUUUGAAAUUACAUUGAAAUAGCUACAUUUUUUUAUUGGCUUAGAUGUAUAUCUACGCACAACAAGCCCAUCAAACCAUCAAAAGUCGAGCUUUGUAGUGAUGUCACUCCUAAAAUAUAUACAUGUCGCUCCGCAUUCUCAUUAGUAGAGUGGGUGGUUAAAACAAAUGGCUUUAAUUGUGUGUUAUUGGUUGUCUCUUCUUAUUCAUGCUUUAUGCAAUUCUAGACUUCUAGUUACUAUAAAAACAGAUAUAUCAUUCUAGAGUGGGUGGUUAAAGAGACUUAUUGGUUGUCUCUUCUUAUUAGUAGAGUGGGUUUAGGGUUUAAUUAUGUAUUUGAGUCUAACUAUUAGUAGUUGUAUAAUCCAAAUGUAAAACCAACAUAUAUAUAUAUAUAUGUGUGUGUGUGUGUGUGUGUGUGUGUGUGUGUGUGUGUGUGUGUGUGUGUGUGUGUGUGUGUGUGUAGCAUAUCUUAGGUUGAGAUUAGACAAACCCACGCAGGCCAUGCUGUGAGAGCCGAGGGGGGGAGAUGCUUGCCAAUUACUAGUAGAUAGCUUGUGGAGUUAUGGUAGACUCAUACCGGCGUGCGGAAUCCUUCGUCAGUUAAGUCAUCGCUAAUGCUUAUGCGACAAGUCUGACGCCCGAUUGAGCCCUAGCUCCACGGCCGCGACGGUGAAAACGAUGGAGGAUGGAGUCGAGAAAACAGAUGGCAAGGCGAUGUAUUGUGUCAAUGCCAUGUAUUGGUCCAAUCGAUAAGUAAAGACAUGCAGACCAGCACAUCGAACCGAUUGUAGUAUGUGGCCUGUGGGCUAUCAAUUUUGGGCUUGGGCUAUUGAAAACUAGAUACACAGAGGUCAGGCCUACGCGUUUUCUAAUGGCCAGAUACUAAUUAGCAAUAGGCUUCUUCUCAAAAAAGAAUUAGCAAUAGACGUACAACUAGCCAACAUAUCCUCGUGUGAAUUCAACGCUAGUCUCCGCUGAGUUUUCUUGAAGGGGGCCGAUCGAUAGGGGGAGCUGGCUCCCGCUCGCGCCCUGUGGCUCCGCCACUGUGUUCUUGUACUGCUUAAUUUAUUAGCUUGCUGAUUCCUAAUGAUUUGAUUAAAUCUUGAUUCUUAACUGAGAGAAAUACUUCGAUUUUAUGCUACAUCAUCCUUCCUUUUUAGGAAAAUCCAACAACUCCUACGGGAAUAGCAAAAAAUUUCUGACACUGUUGUCAGGGAAUCAUCUUCUACCAAAUUAGGUGCCUUCAUACAAACUCCUUAUUUUACUUGUUUUAUUUCUUGCCUAGUUAUGUUAUCUUUAUCGUACUCACUAAACAGAAACUAAAAAUUAGAGACAAACUCCAUCAUUUUAUCCUUAGUGGCAACAAUAUAAAUGCGUGUCCUGUCCCCAUUCUUUCAUUGGGAUACAGGACGCCGCGAGAUUAGAACCCACUACAAUGGCCACUCCCUCUGAAGAACUACCCAUCAAACUUGGCCAAAGAAGAGAAAAGAUCGAAGAGCAUACAAAUGUAUUCAAUUAUACAACAAAGAAACUUCAAAAGAUUCAAUUGGUUCCAAUGACAAUCUGGUCAUGAAGAAAUAGUUCAUCAUAACUCAACAAACACACCAUCGAUUACAUGAGAUGGAUACCAAUCAUGUGAGGAAGCUCAUGAGAACUUUGUAUUAAAGACAAGAAAGAGAGAAUGUCAUCUAGCUACUGCUAUGGACCCGAAGAUCCUAAGGAAACUACUUACACAUGAUCAUGGAGACAGAAAAAUUGAUGAAGAAGCCUCUAGCAAUGGAUUCCCCCUCCGGCGGGGUACCGAAACAGGUCUCCAGAUUGGAUAUCCUCAAAAACUUGCGGCAGCGAAGAAAAUCGGAAAAAAAAUGGCAUUGAGGGUUUUGCGAAAUAAGGGAUUUAUAGGUGGAAGAAUGGAGCUAAGGCGGUGCAUAGGGGCCCAUGCAGCCUAGGUGAGUGGGUCAGCCCCUGGUUGUGCCUCCUACCUGUGUGGAGGCCCUGUGAGUCCUCUCGUUUGGCUCUAGUAUUUUCUGGACUCUACUCGUGGAGAAAAAAAUGUAUUAAAUCCCCGUAAUAUUUUGACCCCUGUAGAUAUUGGUUUCUAAGAAACCAAAAACAUGCAAAAAAACAACAACUGAAGCUGGCUAAAUUAGUAGGUUAGUCUAGAAAAAUAAUAUAAAUUGUUAUAAAAAGUAUAUAAAAAUGAUAACAUAAUAGCAUUUAACAAUAAAAAAAUUAUAUAUAUGUUUGAGACAUAUGAAGCAACCAGAAGAAACAAAUGCAGAGCAAGAGCCAGUUGAAGAACACUUUGUAGAGGAUAAUGUUGAAGACGAGCUUGCUGGUGAGGAGGAGCAUUCUGAAAAGGUAUUCGAUUAUGCUGAUGAGGUCGCAGAGGAGCAUGAUGUAGAAGUUUCUGAUGUUAGAGGAAAUGGCAGUGAAACGGGGUCUUAUUAUGCUGAUGAGAGUGUAGACACUGAUUAUGAUGUCAGUGAUUUAGACCAAAGAGGACACAAUUGAAGAGCAUGUUGAUGUGAAUGUUAGAUCAAAGACAGAGCCUUUACAAGAUUUUGAUGAAGUGGAACUAAUACUACCAGAUUCUGAUGAUGAAGCACUAAAAAGGCAUAUCUUCAAAGGGUUUAGGAACGAAGAAUUUCAUGAUCCACAAUUUAAGACUGAGCAAGUCCUCCGGCCGGUCCCCAGAACUGUUUAGGCAAGCAGUUAAAGAUUUCAUAUUUUAUAUCCGUUUGGUGGUACAUUUUGGAUUAGUAAAAACGUCAUUUAUCAAACAAAAAAAAAA